This 914-nucleotide ribosomal RNA is filed under the name uncultured archaeon. RNAcentral's name for it is "bacterial SSU rRNA". It matches the Rfam family "Archaeal small subunit ribosomal RNA", at positions 1 to 922 of the family's 1478-position model. The record is from RNAcentral.
UUCCGGUUGAUCCCGCCGGACCUGACUGCUAUCGGAUUGAUACUAAGCCAUGCGAGUCAUUGUAGCAAUACAAGGCAGACGGCUCAGUAACGCGUAGUCAACCUACCCUAUGGACGGGAAUAACCUCGGGAAACUGAGUAUAAUGCCCGAUAGAACACUAUACCUGGAAUGGUUUGUGUUCCAAAUGAUUUAUUGCCAUAGGAUGGGACUGCGGCCUAUCAGUUUGUUGGUGAGGUAAUGGCCCACCAAGACUAUUACAGGUACGGGCUCUGAGAGGAGUGGCCCGGAGAUGGGUACUGAGACACGGACCCAGGCCCUAUGGGGCGCAGCAGGCGAGAAAACUUUGCAAUGUGCGAAAGCACGACAAGGUUAAUCCGAGUGGUUUCUGCUAAAGGAACCUUUUGACAGUCCUAGAAACACUGUUGAAUAAGGGGUGGGCAAGUUCUGGUGUCAGCCGCCGCGGUAAAACCAGCACCUCAAGUGGUCAGGAUGAUUAUUGGGCCUAAAGCAUCCGUAGCCGGCUCUGUAAGUUUUCGGUUAAAUCUGUACGCUCAACGUACAGGCUGCUGGGAAUACUGCAGAGCUAGGGAGUGGGAGAGGUAGACGGUACUCGGUAGGAAGUGGUAAAAUGCUUUGAUCUAUCGAUGACCACCUGUGGCGAAGGCGGUCUACCAGAACACGUCCGACGGUGAGGGAUGAAAGCUGGGGGAGCAAACCGGAUUAGAUACCCGGGUAGUCCCAGCUGUAAACUAUGCAAACUCAAUGAUGCAUUGACUUAUGGUCAAUGCAGUGUUGCAGGGAAGCCGUUAAGUUUGCCGCCUGGGAAGUACGUACGCAAGUAUGAAACUUAAAGGAAUUGGCGGGGGAGCACCACAAGGGGUGAAGCCUGCGGUUCAAUUGGAGUCAACGCCGGG